GACCUCGGAUCAGGUAGGAAUACCCGCUGA
This 30-nucleotide ribosomal RNA is filed under the name Diaporthe loropetali. RNAcentral describes it as "Phomopsis loropetali partial 28S ribosomal RNA". RNAcentral also lists the same sequence under 1 other name. Lineage: Eukaryota; Fungi; Ascomycota; Sordariomycetes; Diaporthales; Diaporthaceae. The record is from RNAcentral.